UCUCUGGUCUUGAAUCAAGGG
Molecule: non-coding RNA, 21 nt
Filed under: Caenorhabditis elegans
Lineage: Eukaryota; Metazoa; Nematoda; Chromadorea; Rhabditida; Rhabditidae
Source: RNAcentral